RNAcentral lists this long non-coding RNA (5260 nucleotides) under Sus scrofa (pig). RNAcentral's name for it is "lncRNA (ENSSSCG00000056246.1)". Lineage: Eukaryota; Metazoa; Chordata; Mammalia; Artiodactyla; Suidae. The record is from RNAcentral.
ACCACAGUACCUUGAGAUUGCCAAUAUACACAUCUAUCUCUUCCACUAGGCUGUAAGCACCAUUUAGUACUUUUUUAUUAUUGAAUUUUGUUUAUUAUUGUAUCUCUAGAAACCAGUGCAGCGUCCAGAAUAUAAUAAGUACUUAAGGAAUAGUUGUCAAAAAAUAAGAAUGGGUAAUAAAAACUCAUUUAACAUUUAAAUAUAUUUUCUAAUAAUGCCAAUAAAUUGGGAGAUAAGGUGUUGGGACAAGGAGUAGUGACUUUAUUUGGAAAUCCAGCAGACCAAGAAGAUGGUGCACUGGUCCUAGGGAAACAUCUUACCAAGCCAGAAAUCAGGCCUCUUUUAUACUAAAAGGGGAGGGCUUGUUGUUGAUAGUUGUAAACUUGAUCCAUUCUCUAUGUCCUAGUGAGUUUUUCACAGAUUAAUCCCAGAUUCAUUUCCCACCACUUGGAAUCCUUUGGUGUUGGAAUCCUUUGUUCUUGCAGCUGUCUACAUAGGUCAGGUCAUGAUGUUCCUGUAAGCCUCCAACAAACGAAUGUUCUUCUCUGGUGUUUAACUUUUUAAUCUUUGUAUGAAUGGAAAAGUGUUAUAUCAUUAAAGGUCUGAGUCAUGAGAAUGGGCCAUCCUGUAUAUUUCAGGCUAUAGGCACUGUUCUUAACUGGAAGCAAAAGCAGUAGAAUACAAAAGUUAAAGGAAAAGAAACAGAUCUAAUAUGGGGUGAGAUUUGUUUUUCCUAUUACACUAAUUAAAGUGUAUAGUCAAGUCACUCUGUUUCUCAGUUGCCCAAUCUGUAAAAUAGAGCUUGGAUGAGUGUGUGUGUGUGUGUGUGUGUGUGUGUGUGUAGGCCUUUUCCAUCUCUAUCAUUGUAUUAUUUUCUAAAGAAUCCUCAAUGAGAAACUACCAGUAAAACUAUCAAAAAAGCUAUUAAGCAACAAUCCGGAAGGAUAAUUGACUUUUGGAUGAGUCAACAAAUGCUUUCUUCCCAGAUACUGAAUGUAGGACAGCCAUCUUACUUCCAGAUAUUCUAGGUACUUUCAAGUCAAAGAUUAAUAAAGUACAUUCCAGGCUGAAGUCUAGACCAUUCUAAAAUAGGCAGGACUGUGUGCAUUUUUGAAUCCUGGUUUUAUGGUAUUAGUGGCUUAAUGCUGAGUUAUGAGCAUUAUGAGUUUUGUGUCUUUACUUAAAAGUUAGAGCAACUGUGCAAUAGAGCAGUGACUUGCAAGUCAGACAGCCUGGACACAAAUCACUGCUCCUCUAGUUUCUUGGUAUGACUUCGGGCUAAUCUUUUCACCUGCAAAUUGGAAUAACAGUGGUAACUAGCACAAAGUUUUGUGAAGAUUAAUGCAUUAGGAAAUGCACAAUUAUUGAAAGUAUUUGGAAUAGAGUCUGAAGUCAAUUAAUGUUAUCUAUGAUUGUAUCAACUCACUGUUAUUUAAAUGACUCUCUUAGUUACUUAACUUUCAGUUUAGGGGUAUUUUCAAGAGGAGAGGGUCGUCUGCCGUCUGCCUUUGCAGAACAACCUCUUCCCUGGGCCACCAGAUGUCACUGUUUCUGACAGUUUCCAACUUCUUGACCAUCUAAGAUGUUAUCCUAUUUCCAAGGGAAGAUGUGUAAAGUUUCAAAGAGAGAAAAAUUUCAAUACUAUGGAACUUUUAAUAAAAGUUCCCUAAAACCAUAUAUAACCAUCUUUAAAGUAUUUUUUAUGUAUCACUCAAGGAAUUCAUAUUAUACUUGCCAUUCUGUCUGAUGUUGAUCAUAAUGUGGACCUGAGAUUGGCUCCUAAAUGGGUCAUUUGGGGUUUAUUCAUUAAUUAAGCCAUUCAACAAAACCAUUUUUGUCAGUGGCUAUGUUUAAGGUACUUGAUAGGGAACUAAAUUACACUGGACAUGGAUACCACCACUAGAUAGAGGCUAAUAACAGAGAUAAGAGUUACAAAUAGCUUAAGCCUUGAGAGUGACAAAUGCUAUUUAACAAGGAGAAAUAUUCUUCUGUGAAAGGACAUCAAAGGCAAAAGAUGUAUCUUGAUAAAGGAUUAGGGACAAUAAUAUUGAUGAGAAGUAUUUGAGUGAGAUCUUAAAGAACAAUUAGGAUGUGACAUAGGGAAAUGGGUUGGGGAUGAUUCGUUUGUGCAAAGACAUGAAAAUAUAUGUAGAAUAAUGAGAAGUUCAUUUAAUCUCACAGGUAGGAUGUAUAAUAGAAUGUGACAAGGAAAAAAGAGUGAAAAUAUACAUUGAGGUCAGAUUGUAAAGGCCCUUGAACACCAGGGAAUAAGCUUUAGAAGUACAACAACAUAAAGCAGAGCUCUGAAGAUCUGCAUAGAUGAGUUUAAAUCCCGGUUUAGGCUCUUAGGCAUUUAAGCUUAGACCAAACAACCUCCCAGCCCCACACUGAGAGAAAGAGGGAGGAGUGGGGAGAACUUUCCUGCACUGCAGUUAGUUCCUGAUUGUGAAAACUGGGCAAAUAGCACUGUUGGGAAGUUGGGAAGAUUGACGAUAAUGCUCAGGAGGCACUUGGAAGAUAGAAGCUGUUACUGUAAUAUAAUCUGUAGGCGAUGGUUCCUCUGUUAUCAGAAAUUAUAUUUCCAUAUUUAGUGGAAACUGAGAGGUGAUUGAAGUAAAGGUACCUCAGUGCAGAUUUUCCUCUCUUCCUUGAGAGCUCUUGAGACCCACCUUGAGACACCCUGGGUCUAUUGUUGAAGCAGGCAUUUGUGUAAAUGGAGCAAGUGGUCUGUGACUCCUGUUCUCCGAGGUGCUUCAGGAUUUGGUGAAAUGCUUAACCUGCAGUGGUCAGUCUCAAGUCCCAGGUGCCUCCAUCAUGUUUCUAAAGAGGGUGCUAGAACUCUGUUGGGCCCCAGCAGAGAUCACUUCUGUUACAUGAGAAGUUUACCGUUUUCGCAAGCUCAGCACAUGCGCCCUGUUUGAGAAUUUUCAGAAGCCUACUUAUUUUGUUUUUAAGAAUGAAAACUAGCUCAUUAUUAUUUGCUUUCUCUCCAGAGAGAUCCUAUGGAUUAGCUUACGUGUUUUUGUUUUUAAUUAAAAAAUAAUUACCGCAGGUCCUGCGAACCAAAUACCCUAACAGUUAGAGGCUGAAAAAGAAAAUCUUCACACUCCUUUUGGAAUAAUAUGGCUGCUCUAAAUUGGACUUUAAUGCUUUGCAGUGAUUCACUUUUCCAGUGUCCUGAAGGAUGGAGUUUUACCUGACUUCUUUUAAGAGACUAUUCUAGAAUAUUGUAACUGAACUACUAACUCAUUUUUUCUUUCUCUGGGAUAUUUCUCCUGACAGACUAAAUUUUCUUUUCUGAAUUUCAUAUCUACCCCUCUUCCUUUGAACCAAGCUAAAUAAUUCAUUUCUUCCCCGUUUCAUAACCUGUCAUACUACUUCACGUUUGCUCUGCUUUAACCAAACUGUCCACUUUUAGGGGCUCGAAUCUUCCCUGAUUUCCCUUACCAUUUGACUCUUAAUUUUAUUACUUGUGCCACUGAAAUAUGUACAGUAAAAAAAGGCGCAAGGAGUUUUCCAACUUUGAAAAUUACUUUUGUAGCUGUCGUUCCCAAGGAAACCACUUCCAUUGUGUCUCAGUUUUAUUUAGCACAUAGAGUCCAUUAUGGGAUAGAUUUUGAAGAAUUGUUGCUCGAUUUCUUUGUCUCCCUCUCUUUUUCUGUUAGGAAGCUGGGCGUCAGUUUCAAGAAGUUGAGGAAAACAGUAAGUGCCCUGAAAAUCGACUUUGAAUUCACAGAGCUUAUGAAACACCCAGAGGUAGGCUAAGACAUUGGUGGUGAAAUAUUUGGAAUAAGAACUAGGGAACUCCUAUUUCCCACUGAAUUUUUGAGUGUACCUGGAGGAUUUAACCUUUAUUGAUAUUAUUUAAGUUUUCAUUUUCAACAUGGCCUAUCUCACCAAAUUAUUGUUCCUAAAGGUUUCCAUGCUUUGGCAUGACAGCGGCCUAUGAUUCUCCAUUAAACUUGUGCUUGUGUUAUUAUAUUCUAGGAAAUGUUACACAGUUACGAAAAUGCUGUACAAUUGUAUACCUGCGUAUUUAUAUUAACCUCCUACACACAUUCAUUUCAAAUUUAUCUUGCUUGGUUUUCAGUUAGCUCAGCUCCCUGACCAGAUGCUGUGUUUAUCUGUCAGAUUCUUUCUAUUUAUAUACAUAAUGAUUUUUAUUUUUUCCAUUAUAGCUGGUUUACAGUGUUCUGUCAAUUUUCUACUGUACAGCAUGGUGACCCAGUUACACAUACAUGUAUGCAUUCUUUUUUUCUCACAUCAUCCUGCUCCAUCAUAAGUGAACAGACAUAGUUCCCAGUGCUACACAGCAGGAUCCCAUUGCUAAUCCAUUCCAAAGGCAACAGUCUACAUCUAUUAACCCCAAGCUCCCCAUCCAUCCCACUCCCUCCCUCUUGGCUACUGCAAGUCUGUUCUCCCAGUCCAUGAUUUUCUCUUCUGUGGAAAGGUUCAUUUGUGCCUUAUAUUAGAUUCCAGAUAUAAGUGAUAUCAUAUAGUAUUUGUCUUUCUCUUCCUGACUUACUUCACUCAGUAUGAGAGUAUCUAGUCAGAUUCUUUAGAAGAAAACUACAGAAAUCUAAAUAGAUAUAUCCAACACUUGAAAAGAAUCGGUAUUUGCUGAUUACAGUGCCUUCUUAUGAGACAAAUCACUACUUCCAGCCUUUAGCUGCCCAGAUUUUUAAUAUAUCUGCUUCAAAUAGCCAGAGGCAAACAAGAUUAAAAACAAAUGCACUAAGCCUUCUUCAGUUAUCACUCAGCAUGAGGAGGUGUUCACCAUGGGCAGGUGGCUGCUUGUAGGGCGGAAGUUCCUUCUGGCACCCUCAUCACACUUCCCACCCUCUAUUAUUCCUGCUCCUGGGCUUGCAGCCUCAUCUGGCAGGGGCGGAUGGUGGUGGUGGUAUUUCUGCUCACAGCAUGGAUUUGUUUUUUGCACAGAUGAAUAUUUGGAUAAACUGGUAAGCCCUUGUUAAAGCUGUAAAGAAACUGACAUUGGUCCAUGUUAACCAUGCACACACCUCCUCCCUCUGUGGACCACCUGCUGGCAACUUCUUCCUCUUCAUAAAACAAGGACCUCCACACUCUUGUAAGACCUUCACACAAUGCAGUACAGUUACACUGGGGUAUCUGCUUUCAUUUAACCUUUCACUUUUCAUUUCCAAAAAAAAAUUCCAUUUCACUUGCGGCUCUGAACUUGAUUCUGUAUGCUUUUCCUAUCCUCGAACCUAUCAGUGAGAUCAUGAAAACAUGGUUUAACUAC